UGAGUGGAAGAGAGAGGACCACUUGUUACUAGGCAACCAGUACUUGCCUCACCCAUGUUGCCAUGGUGAUGAUGAAAGUUGGGCUGAUGGGAUUACCAGCUCCUGCUAAUUGCACAUGAGCACUCAAGGGGCUGUGGGGUCACCUUCUCCUCUCUCCUGCCACCCCAAGGCAUCUGCAUUGUGUGUUAUGCAAUGAGAGAGCACCUUGGCCUGGACCUCAAGCAACCCACGUCCUAGUUCUGCCUCUGUAAUGUCCUAGAGCAGUGGCCUCAGAUCACUCCCUGGUGCCACAGCAGCUGAGUGUGCCUCGAAUCUGAAGAAACUCUACACUGUGCAAACAGUACAGAUAUUCUGGAGUGUGUACAAUAACAUCCCUCCUGUGACCAGCCUGCCUUUGAGAUGUAGUUAUCACUUAAUGAGAGGAGAGAGGCGACCACUUUGGGAGGAGGAGAGUAAUGCAAAGGGUGGCGUGUGGAAGAUGAAAGUUCCCAAGGACAGCACGUCCACAGUUUGGAAAGAGUUGUUGUUAGCGACCAUUGGGGAGCAGUUCACAGACUCUGUGGCAGCAGAUGACGAAGUGAUAGGGGUCAGUGUGAGUGUUCGGGACCGAGAGGACGUCAUCCAGGUCUGGAAUGUCAACGCCUCCUUAGUGGGCAAAGCUACUGUGCUUGAGAAGAUCCAUGAACUCCUGCCCCACGUAUCUUUUAAAGCCGUGUUUUAUAAACCCCAUGAAGAGCAUCAUGCUUUUGAAGGUGGACGUGGAAAACACUAAUUGCACUCUGUAAAGAAUUCUUUAUCCUUUGCUGAUUGGUUUUGGAAACGGUCUUAACAGGAGGGAGAGUGAAGAGAAGACUUGCCGAAGCCCGAUGCUGGUCCAUUUAGAAAGCCCAUGAUUUGUCCAGAGAGGAAACCUGCUAUUUCUGAUUUACAGAGGAGGCCAUGUUUAUUGCUUGUGUGGAAUGGAGAUUCUUCCUCAGUUCCCGAAGGUUUCCCCACUUCCCACGUCAAUUCUCAGUCCUGUGUUAAGUGAUCCAGCCCCUGUCAUACGUCCGUCCUGUCUGAAAAUCAAUGGCCCUCCAGCAGGGGUUGUCUUUUCCCUUCAUUUAUACAUUGUUGCAGGAAGCACCCAGGCACUCACACAGUUGAGCUUGAGUGCAUCUAUCGUUCCUAUAACUGUGUUGUUAGAUAUUGGAUUAUACUACCAAAGAAAUAUUGGUUUCAGUAGAAGAAAACCUUUCAGAGUGUUACAACUUCUCCCAGAUGCUCCUGUCUCCCUCUCAACUGUGUCCACUUCCUGGUUAUUUUCCCUGUGAAAGGGCCUCCCUCCUCUUGGCCUGGAUAUAGAGCUGUGGGACCAGUGAAGCUUCUAUAUUUCUCAAAAGGAUGACUUUUUAAUUCCCUUGCACUGUUGGCCAGUGGAGAGAUGGGGCUACUCUAAUCCUCCCACAUGUAUUUGUAAAUAAAAUUCCCCAUUCAGAAUUUUUAAAUGGCUCUCAGUAGCACCUGUUUAUAAAAGUUGUGGCCUCCACUUGCACUGCUAAACACUCAGCAAACAAUAAUUAGCUGUCAAUGAUUAGGAGAUGCUUCCUCUCUGAACUGACGUCCCUCAACAGUUCCACUCAUCAGGGGAUUGGAUACUUCUAGAAAAAUCCUAGGAUGUGUUUGUCUAUAUGACGUGUUCUUCUCUGAACAGUUUCUAAACCUGUUUUAAAAGUAUAACUCAAGAAUUUAAAACUUAUUCUGAACAAGAGUUGAAAUUCCUUUUUAUAAUAUAAGUAUUUUUCUGAUAGAUUAGCAAAAAGGACUAAUUGACUUCCUUAUUAUAAUUGUCAUAUAUAUAUUUCCAUAAGUAAAUAAAUUUUGAGGAAUUUUUUAUUUUUGAACUUA
Cricetulus griseus (Chinese hamster) is the source of this 1887-nucleotide non-coding RNA. Lineage: Eukaryota; Metazoa; Chordata; Mammalia; Rodentia; Cricetidae. The record is from RefSeq and is a predicted model, not a curated record.